AGGGACUUAGGUUAGCACAGUAGACCAAGGGCCUUCAGAGCCCUCUGCAGGGGUGCAAACCCCCUAGGCCCUA
RNAcentral lists this transfer RNA (73 nucleotides) under Halichoeres trimaculatus (threespot wrasse). RNAcentral describes it as "tRNA-Trp". It matches the Rfam family "tRNA". From Rfam's summary of the family: Transfer RNA (tRNA) molecules are approximately 80 nucleotides in length. Lineage: Eukaryota; Metazoa; Chordata; Actinopteri; Labriformes; Labridae. The record is from RNAcentral.